UGCCUACUUAUGAGGGGAAGGUUUUUACCGUCCAUGGCUUGAAGCAUACUCUAUUGGAUGUUAAGGAAGCUAUCUCUUCUAUUCCAAACUCUGGAGGUGAUCAUUUGAACUUGGAUUUGGCGUCAACAAGUGGUGCUGAACUAUCUUCGAAAGCUUUAUCUGAUCUAAGUGCGGACUAUGAUAAUUACCUCAAGCAUUUGCAGUAUGGGCUCUGGUUUUAUGAACAUGCCUUGAAUAUUCCUGCUCUGACUGUACCUCAAGCACCACCUUCUCCAUAUCACAUGAAGUACUCAUGGGAAGCUGCUCAGCAGCCUUCAUAUAUGAAUACCAAUGGGUUUUCUCAUGGGAGUACAAAUGGUGUUAUCCCAAGUCAAGCAUUUUACCCCAUAAAUCCAAUGUUAAUGCAUGGUAUGCCUUAUGCUGCCUUGGAAGAGAUGCCAAAGCAACGGGGAACUGGGACAUACUUCCCGAAUUUGAAUCAUCCUCCACAUGGUUAUAGGCCAUCAACAGUGAAGGGUAGACAUCAG
This 527-nucleotide unclassified non-coding RNA is filed under the name Hevea brasiliensis (rubber tree). The record is from RNAcentral. Lineage: Eukaryota; Viridiplantae; Streptophyta; Magnoliopsida; Malpighiales; Euphorbiaceae.